GCAGCACAAAUGAACUUUCUUCUUUCUGCUCAUGGAUUUUUAAAUUUCAAUGAACCCAUAAGAUUUUUCAUUUUUCUCCUGAGCUCUGAUGCUUUCAGGGUGGAAUUUUUGUCUUUCAGUAUUUGCUAGUUGUAUUUUUAAGAGGCACUGAUGCUGAAGGUCUUCUAUUCCACCAUCUUGCUGAUGUCAUUCCUCAAAUAAUAAUUUUAUAUUUUAGCAAAUUUUUAGUUUUUAGGAUUUUGUGUCUACAUGAACAUGGACAUGAAAAGAAAUGUACUCUAUCACUGAAAACUUUUGUAUAUAUUUUGGUUGUGUGCCUUUUCUAGUAAUGAAUGAUUAUAUUUUAAGCCAUAUGUUUUAUACAUACACUUUCCUAUAAAGAGACUAGGUGGUUCUGUGCAUCAGCAUAUAGGGACAGAAUAUAACUACACAUUAAUAAUUUCUCAAGUCUUUAUUUUAGAAGUGUAAGCAACCUUUAUUUUAAUCUUUGUUAUGUUACACCUCUGUAAGCAGAGAAAUUUUUAUCUUCAGGAAAUGGAAAAUUUUGGUCCAGAGUUCAGGGGAAGAUGGUAUUGUGGUGUUUUCUCUGGGGUCACUAUUUCAAAAUGUUACAGAAGAAAAGGCUAACAUCAUUGCUUCAGCCCUUGCCCAGAUCCCACAGAAGGUGUUAUGGAGAUACAAAGGAAAAAAAACCAUCCACAUUAGGAACGAAUACUCGUCGUAUGGAUUGGAUACCCCCAGAAUGAUCUUCUUGGUAGGACUAUGAGAAAGUAAAAAUAUGAACUAGAUGAGGAAAAAAUGAAUAAAUGUUAAAUAGCAAGCAAAUUCAGCAAAGAUUUAAAAUUAUAAAACUUUAUUUUACUUACACUUUUGAAGCAGAUAUAAUUAAAGGAUUGACUAAAAUGGUAUAGAUUAACACUUUCUAUUGUUAAAAUGAGAGUUACAUGAAAUGCAAAAGGAAUUAAUGCCUCUUUUUCUGAAGAUAGAAAUGAUCUUUAGUAGCAAUGCUCCAUGUGCACUCCUUUUAAAGAAAAUGCUGUACGCUUCAGUGAGUUAUCUCAUAGUUUCGAU
This 1071-nucleotide long non-coding RNA is filed under the name Macaca mulatta (Rhesus monkey). RNAcentral describes it as "lncRNA (ENSMMUG00000061620.1)". The record is from RNAcentral. Lineage: Eukaryota; Metazoa; Chordata; Mammalia; Primates; Cercopithecidae.